RNAcentral lists this ribosomal RNA (497 nucleotides) under uncultured bacterium. Its description in RNAcentral is "partial 16S ribosomal RNA". It matches the Rfam family "Bacterial small subunit ribosomal RNA", at positions 28 to 507 of the family's 1533-position model. The record is from RNAcentral.
GAUGAACGCUGGCGGCGGGCCUAAUACAUGCAAGUCGAGCGACCACGCGGGGAGAUCGUGCUUUUGCCGUUAGCGGCGGACGGGCGAGUAAGACAUGGAUAACCAACCUCUUAGUCUGGGAGAACUUCGGGAAACAAGUGCCGAUAAUGGCUCAUACAUCCUACCGGAUGGUUCAAUAGUGAUUCGCACCUUUCGUGUUUGAUUUAGAUGGAUUCGCGUCGCAUUAGCUAGUUGGUAAGGUAACGGCAUACCAAGGCGACGAUGCGUAGCCGACCUGAGAGGAUGAUCAGCCACACUGGAACUGAGACACGGUCCAGACUCCUACGGGAGGCAGCAGUGGGGAAUCUUCCACAAUGGGCGCAAGCCUGACCGAGCCACGCCGCGUGGGUGAUGAAGGUCUUCGGGUCGUAAAGCUCUGUUGUUGGGAAAGAACAGAAGUGUAUGUAACUAUGCACGUUUUGACGGUACCUAAUCAAUAAGCCACGGCUAACUUCGUG